GUUCGAUAGAAUUCAAGGAUUGAAUUGAUAAAACAAUUUUACAUUUGGCGUAAAUUGAAUUGAAAAGCAUAAUUAUCCGCCGGAAGGCGGUGGAUCUGAAGGUGAGAAGUAAACGGGAAGAAGGAAGAUGGAGAACGAGAAUAGAGUGGAGAAGAAUAAUGGCAACGAGAUAAAGAGUUUGCUAGCGUUGAAAUCCAUAUUCUCUUUCAACGGAAAAAAGCGAAACGGUGACAGUGAAGGUGGCAAUGAUGCACCGGCUUACAACCCUUUACCUUUUCUAUCUUCACUCGCUAAUUCUGUUGUCUCUCGUUCUUGC
This 316-nucleotide unclassified non-coding RNA is filed under the name Hevea brasiliensis (rubber tree). Lineage: Eukaryota; Viridiplantae; Streptophyta; Magnoliopsida; Malpighiales; Euphorbiaceae. The record is from RNAcentral.